AUACGGAGGAUCCGAGCGUUAUCCGGAUUUAUUGGGUUUAAAGGGUGCGCAGGCGGCCAUUUAAGUCAGCGGUUAAAUCGUGGGGCUCAACCCCAUUCUGCCGUUGAUACUGGGUGGCUUGAUUGCGGUCGAGGUUGGCGGAAUUCGUUGUGUAGCGGUGAAAUGCAUAGAUAUGACGAAGAACACCGAUUGCGUAGGCAGCUGACCAGACCGCAAAUGACGCUCAUGCACGAAAGUGCGGGGAUCGAACAGGAUUAGAUACCCUGGUAGUCCGCACAGUAAACGAUGAAUACUUGGUUUCGGCGAUAUAAUGUCGGAGGCAAAGCGAAAGCGAUAAGUAUUCCACCUGGGGAGUACGCCGGCAACGGUGAAACUCAAAUGAAUUGACGGGG
Molecule: ribosomal RNA, 392 nt
Filed under: uncultured bacterium
Lineage: Bacteria
Description: partial 16S ribosomal RNA
Rfam family: Bacterial small subunit ribosomal RNA
Source: RNAcentral